AUUUAGCUGACCAGUCCCAAAUAGGACUUAACGCACAUCCUGAAU
This 45-nucleotide non-coding RNA is filed under the name Schistosoma mattheei. Lineage: Eukaryota; Metazoa; Platyhelminthes; Trematoda; Strigeidida; Schistosomatidae. The record is from RNAcentral.